Molecule: long non-coding RNA, 646 nt
Filed under: Numida meleagris (helmeted guineafowl)
Lineage: Eukaryota; Metazoa; Chordata; Aves; Galliformes; Numididae
Description: lncRNA (ENSNMEG00000018270.1)
Source: RNAcentral
CAGAGAAGCAGCAGUUUUAUUCUGGUGAGAUCAUACUGUGCUGUGAGUGUGAGGUGGGUGUAGAGCCAUGAAGAAAAGUACAUUAGAGGGACAGAGUUAGGUGUGGAGGUAACUGGACCCUAUGUAAGCAGAAAUGUCUUGGAUGUUUAUACAGCGUGGGAGGAACGCUGAGAACAAGGUGCAACGGAGGUCCUGGGUCCCAGUGUGAGGCAUGAUACAAAGAUGCAAGGCCCAGCAGAAGACAACUCAGGUUUGUUAUGAAUUGAGGAUAAAUAUCACUGAUAAAAUGGAGGUCAACAACUUAGCAGCAUCUUGUGGAAAAGGUUUGGAGGUGAGUGAAAUUAAAUGGUUACCUGAAUCAGGCAUUAUUCCAAUGGGAGACUGGAAGGUGUAGCCAGGAUUUUCUGAAGUGGAAGCAUUCAAAAUAUUGGGAACAAACACAGAAACUGUGGGGUCUGUGACAACUCGUGCGGAAUCUAAACUGAUACUGGGACCACAGUGUGCAAUAUCAUGCUCUGGGCCUGAAAGCUUUUGGCUCUAGUCUCUGAUGUACCAGGGAGAUCAACUGAUUAAAGUGCCAAAGGAUUUUCUUUCUAUUCAGUGGAUUUGAAAUACUUAAAGCUAAGCUGAACUCCAGAUCCUGCUA